This 76-nucleotide transfer RNA is filed under the name Caudoviricetes sp. RNAcentral describes it as "tRNA-Asn". It matches the Rfam family "tRNA". Rfam says of the family: Transfer RNA (tRNA) molecules are approximately 80 nucleotides in length. Their secondary structure includes four short double-helical elements and three loops (D, anti-codon, and T loops). The record is from RNAcentral. Lineage: Duplodnaviria; Heunggongvirae; Uroviricota; Caudoviricetes.
GGGAAUAUGGCUCAGUUGGUAGAGCAAUUGACUGUUAAUCAAUGUGUCACAGGUUCAAGUCCUGUUAUUCCCGCCA